AUGGGUGGUGCCUCUGCUUCCUUCUUCUACCUCUUGCUGUUCCUCUGGGCUCAGGGUGCGGCUGCGACUGGCCUUGGCUUCACAAGAAGAGAUUUCCCACAGGAGUUCGUCUUUGGAGCUGGAACCUCGGCAUACCAAUAUGAGGGUGCUGUUGCUGAGGAUGGCAGGAGCCCAAGCAGUUGGGACACUUUCACUCAUGCAGGCAAAAUGCCAGACAAAAGCACGGGAGAUGUUGCUGCAGAUGGGUACCACAAAUACAUGGAGGAUGUCAAGCGCAUGUAUGAGACAGGCCUAGAGGCCUAUAGGUUCUCCAUCUCCUGGUCAAGGCUCAUUCCAAAUGGACGCGGAGCUGUCAAUCCCAAAGGGCUACAGUACUACAAUAACCUCAUUGACGAGCUAGUGAAUCAUGGAGUUCAAGUCCACAUCACACUCCACCAUCUAGAUCUCCCCCAGAUUCUUGAAGACGAGUACGGUGGAUGGUUAAGCCCCAAAAUUAUCGAAGAUUUCACAGCAUAUGCAGAUGUUUGCUUCAGGGAGUUUGGUGAUAGGGUUGCAUCUUGGACGACGGUGAAUGAGCCAAACAUUGGCAUAUUGGCCUCUUAUGAUGUUGCUACAUUCCCUCCUGGCCGUUGCUCAGAUCCAUUUGGAGCGACAAAGUGCACCGCUGGGGACUCUACUGUGGAACCAUACAUAGCAGCUCAUAAUACCCUUAUGGCUCAUGGAUCAGUUGUCAGUCUGUACAGAAAGAAAUAUCAAGCCAUGCAAAAAGGAGUUGUUGGCAUAAGUAUCUACUCUUUCUGGAGUUAUCCAUUGACAAAUUCCACUGUGGAUUUAGCUGCAACCCGGAGAUGUAAAGAUUUCUUCUUUGGCUGGAUACUAGAUCCAUUGGUGUUUGGGGACUACCCAGAAGUAAUGAAGAAGAUUGUUGGCUCUCGCCUUCCACCCUUCACGAAAGUUCAAUCUGAACUCAUCAAGGGUUCUUUAGAUUUUAUUGGAAUAAAUCACUACUACUCUCUCUACGUGAAUGAUCGCCCACUAGCAACAGGGGUUUGA
RNAcentral lists this ribosomal RNA (1053 nucleotides) under Triticum aestivum (bread wheat). RNAcentral describes it as "partial small subunit ribosomal RNA". The record is from RNAcentral. Lineage: Eukaryota; Viridiplantae; Streptophyta; Magnoliopsida; Poales; Poaceae.